GCCGGCUUAGCUCAGUUGGUAGAGCAAUUCACUCGUAAUGAAUAGGUCAGCGGUUCAAGUCCGCUAGCCGGCUCCA
RNAcentral lists this transfer RNA (76 nucleotides) under Ignavibacteria bacterium. RNAcentral's name for it is "tRNA-Thr". It matches the Rfam family "tRNA". From Rfam's summary of the family: Transfer RNA (tRNA) molecules are approximately 80 nucleotides in length. Their secondary structure includes four short double-helical elements and three loops (D, anti-codon, and T loops). The record is from RNAcentral. Lineage: Bacteria; Pseudomonadati; Ignavibacteriota; Ignavibacteria.